RNAcentral lists this ribosomal RNA (666 nucleotides) under uncultured fungus. RNAcentral describes it as "eukaryotic LSU rRNA". The stretch from base 247 to 401 matches the Rfam family "5.8S ribosomal RNA". The record is from RNAcentral. Lineage: Eukaryota; Fungi.
AAGUCGUAACAGGGUUUCCGUAGGUGAACCUGCGGAAGGAUCAUUACCGAAUCGUCGACACGAGCUGUUGCUGGCCCUCAAACGGGGGCACGUGCACGCUCUGUCUGCAUCCACUCACACCUGUGCACCCUCUGUAGUUCUGUGGUCCGGGGGAGACUCCUCCUCCUGUCUGCGGUUCUGCGUCUUUACACACACACUGUGACACGGUCUUAUGGAAUGUACGCAGCGUUUAACGCGAUACAAUACAACUUUCAGCAACGGAUCUCUUGGCUCUCGCAUCGAUGAAGAACGCAGCGAAAUGCGAUAAGUAAUGUGAAUUGCAGAAUUCAGUGAAUCAUCGAAUCUUUGAACGCACCUUGCGCCCUUUGGUUAUUCCGAAGGGCAUGCCUGUUUGAGUAUCAUGAACACCUCAACCCUCAUGGCUUGCCAUGAUGGGCUUGGACUUUGGAGGCUUUGCUGGCCUGCGGUCGGCUCCUCUCAAAUGAAUCAGCUUACCGGUGCACGGUGGCGUCGCGGGUGUGAUAACUAUCUACGCUUGCGGUCGUCAGCCGGGUUACCUCCGACCUCGUCGGAGGUUCGUCGGGGGCUCACAGAUGUCUCUCCUCAGCGAAGACGGAUUUCUGAACGUUUGAUCUCAAAUCAGGUAGGACUACCCGCUGAACUUAA